UACGAAGGGGGCUAGCGUUGCUCGGAAUCACUGGGCGUAAAGCGCACGUAGGCGGAUUGUUAAGUCAGGGGUGAAAUCCUGGAGCUCAACUCCAGAACUGCCUUUGAUACUGAGAAGCUUGAGUUCGGGAGAGGUGAGUGGAACUGCGAGUGUAGAGGUGAAAUUCGUAGAUAUUCGCAAGAACACCAGUGGCGAAGGCGGCUCACUGGCCCGAUACUGACGCUGAGGUGCGAAAGCGUGGGGAGCAAACAGG
Molecule: ribosomal RNA, 253 nt
Filed under: uncultured bacterium
Lineage: Bacteria
Description: partial 16S ribosomal RNA
Rfam family: Bacterial small subunit ribosomal RNA
Source: RNAcentral